Molecule: long non-coding RNA, 209 nt
Filed under: Gossypium raimondii (Peruvian cotton)
Lineage: Eukaryota; Viridiplantae; Streptophyta; Magnoliopsida; Malvales; Malvaceae
Description: long non-coding RNA (GRAI_LNC006957)
Source: RNAcentral
UUUUUUCUUUUUUUCUUUUUGAAGGAGGGUGAAGAAACAAUAAGGGUAAUUUACACUAUUAGUUAAUAAAUUAUGAGUAAGCUUUUGUUUUGGUCACUUAACUAAUAUAAAGUUACAAUUUGAUCACUGGACUAUUCAAAAGUUUUUAUUUAAGUCACUCGGUUAUUAAGUCUUUUUCUAAAUAAAAGUUUCGCCAGCAAGCUCUAAGC